AUGGACAAAAGCUCAAGCUUGGGGAUGCCCAUGUCACCCCAAGACAUAUUCAAGAAGUACAAGCGUCAAAGCUUGGGGAUGCCCAAGGCAUCCCCUUCUUUAUCAAUAAAAAUAUCAGGUCCUUUUUCAGUACACUAUAUUUUUAUUGCUUCAUAUACUAUGUGUUGUUCUUGGAGCGUCUUUGUUUUUGUUUUUAGUUUAGUUUGCUAUAGUACUUGGUUAGAUCCCAGCUCUUUUGUUUUGGAGAGAGACACGCUCCGUUUUCAUUGCCUAGAACACUCUAGUUUCAUUCCUAUUACUCUGCGAGUGUUCUCUUUUGCUAGAACUGGCUUUAGUAUUCGUUUUGUUCAGAACUUUUUAGUUCUUCUUUGUAGUUAG
RNAcentral lists this ribosomal RNA (378 nucleotides) under Triticum aestivum (bread wheat). RNAcentral describes it as "partial small subunit ribosomal RNA". Lineage: Eukaryota; Viridiplantae; Streptophyta; Magnoliopsida; Poales; Poaceae. The record is from RNAcentral.